This is a long non-coding RNA of Pomacea canaliculata, 1309 nucleotides long. RefSeq lists it as uncharacterized. Lineage: Eukaryota; Metazoa; Mollusca; Gastropoda; Architaenioglossa; Ampullariidae. The record is from RefSeq and is a predicted model, not a curated record. The transcript has 2 exons.
UUGUUUUGUUAAGUUUUCGUUGAUCUUUUGUAAUAUACUCUCCUCACACAUGCCAUAUAUACCUUUACUUACUGUACAUUGCUUUGUGUGUGUGUGUAAAACUAUUUAAAUUAUAUUGAUGCCCAAGGACGUGUUUAGGGAUACAGAUUCAUGGAUAAAUGAAACUCUCAAUACAGAGAAUCGAUUCAGUAAUUUUUUAAAGCAAAUAUAUUAGUGAUGAGGUUAAGAGAUAGAAGGAGCAGUCACCAUGCAGGGAGCUAAUAAUUAAUUUUUGGCUAAUUCAUGUAUCUUGUGUAAGAGCUUGAAAACUUAUUAUGGGAACUUCAUGUGUAGUUGCCAUGUCUAUACCUGUGAUCCUUGCAUGGCUCCCUCUGAUUACAGCAUUGUGUGUGUGUGGUAGCUUAAUUGUGCACAGAAGGUUGAAAGGAGAUACGAUUGCAACAUAAAAGUACACACCAACUGAUAAGGAGAUAGUAUAAGUAGUUUAGCUUUACAGUUGAAAGAGGCUUUUUGGGGUUUGGAAGUGAGAGUGAAGAGACUGCAGACCAGCCGUCGAGUGAAACACUGAAUAAAAUGUACAGCUGUGCGGCAAUUUCUUUGUUGUGUUCUUGUACGACUAGCCUACCCCUAUCUAACCAUCAGGGACUGACGCGUUGGUUACAUUUCUUCAGUGUCAACUACACCAACUACAAAAGAAAUCCUUGACACACGGCAAAGAAGAAUGUAACAGAAGCCAAGAAUCAGCUCUUGCAGACAAAAGAACAAACUUCAUGCCUGUAAACCACGCACAGAAACUGGUGGUUUGGGUUUGGCUCUGCAAAAUAUAAAAGGAUUGUAGACUGUAUAUUAAAAUUUUUUUUAAAUAGCACCUUUCUUCUUUUUCAAAUGCAGUUUAAAGUUUUAUUUUAUUACAGAUAUGCCAACAUUGUUAUGAGUUCUCUUCUUUAAAUGAUUGUUAAGGAUAUUAAAAGUACAAAAUUUCGUGGAGGUUUAACAUCUACUUUGAUGUACAAUGACUAAAACAACUUUAAAUGAACAUUUUGUCAUCAUUAUGAAGGUUGUUACAUCAAAUCCAUUGUGUUAUCAGCAUUGCUAUGAUGUCAUCACAAAUAGCCACCACCAUAUGUCUCCUUUCCUUCCCUCCUCUCUCAACAUAGUUUUGUCAUAACAGUGAACCAAGGAAGUAAACUAUACAUGUGUGUACUCUAGAGGAGGUCCCAGGUUCACCAAGCAAUUUCUUAAAUACAUAUAUUUUCCAGCUGCCCACUAAAUGCCAAUCAUUUUUUUUAGAUCCCCUCUUGGUAUGGCU